Molecule: long non-coding RNA, 1181 nt
Filed under: Bos indicus x Bos taurus (hybrid cattle)
Lineage: Eukaryota; Metazoa; Chordata; Mammalia; Artiodactyla; Bovidae
Description: lncRNA (ENSBIXG00000020020.1)
Source: RNAcentral
AUGCUUUCCUUCAUUUUUUUUUUCCACGCCCCUCAUCAAGAAGCCCGUAUUAAAAUGAAUUAUCAGGUCAGCACUAAUAAGAAGGUGCAACAUGAAAGUCAGCUCUCUGCCAAGAAGGACGACAAACUCUUCUUUAACGAUGAGGACAAAGAAAUACUUUAUCAGAUUAAAAGCCUAGCAGCUCUGGAAAGAAUCAUUGAAAGUCUCCGGAAAUCUUUAGGUAAAGGGAACCAGGGGCCCACCAUGGCGAUAGAUGAGUGUGGGGGAUCGGUCCUUGAGCUGGGGCUGUCCCCCUGGUGAGACGGGAGGUACCGCACCCACUGCAGGGACCAGCGUGAGCCGUGAGCAGCUCUGGACAAGCAGGUGACUCUAUCCUGAGGGGACCCUGUGAGCCCCACUCACGAGUCCACAGUCCAGGAGUCACGGGGCCACCAGCAGGCUCCCCGCACUUCUUGGCUGAACUGAACAAGGCCGAGCCGCUUUUCCAGGAGUGAUGGGGAGGAGGGCUUCACACACCCCCGUGUCGCCGUGACCAGGCCCAGGGAGGUCCCCCCGCCCCCCCCCGCCCCCCCCCCCCGCCCGGGCAGACACGCCCCUCUCCGCAGGCGCCUCCCCAUGGGGGCCGGCCUCCGGCCCCUCCUGGGCCACAGUGUACUCACUGCUGAAGUCGCCCACGCCGUCCCCCUCCGCUUCUGCCUCCGGCCCCACGCUUGUCCCUGAACUCUCGAGAACACCUCCGAGCCUCUCCUAGGCUGGCCUCGCGGCCUCCUUUCCUCUCUGAGUCAGACCUGGCCGCCAGGCUGAAGGUUCCAAGCAACUUCUGCAGCAUCACACACGCCGUGCACCCGCCCGGAUUCAACCUUAUCUCACGUGGACCGAGCACGUGCCCGCGCCAGGCGCUGGGCUCAGAUCCCGGGAUUUAUCUGACCCCUACCCCGCCCCCCCCCCGCGCCCCCCCCCCCCCCGAACGGCUUUCCGAUGGCUCAGUGGUAAGAAUCAGCCUGCAAAGCAGGAGACGCAGGAGACGUGGGUUCGAUCCGAGUCAGAAAGAUCCCCUGGAAGGGGGCAUGGCCACCCACUCCAGUAUUCUUGCCUGGGAAAUGUCAUGAACAGAGGAGCCCGGUGGGCUACAGUCCAUAGGGCUACAAAGAGUCCCACAUGCCCGAAGCCACCGAGCUCAC